CCGUUUCUGGGACGCCAAACUGUGCUAAGACCUCAUGCUGGAAUAGGAUCACGGCCGAUGAAGUGGCUUUGGACAAGGCCUUCAACCAGACAUACUUGACAUGUAGUCGAAGACUAUGAGAAUGACCACAUUCCCACCUCGUGUCCUAGGAUAUGGACCCAGAAAGUCGAGGUACCACACUCUGCGACAUACGCCUUCACCUGCACCGCCAUCCGGGGCCAGUAAUAACACUGCCGCAGUCAUCCCGGUGUCCUCGCGACACCUCCAUGCAUUGCCACGUCGCUAUCGUGUGCCUCCUGGAUCAGCGUGUUCGUCAGUGCUUCUGGAAUCCACUGCUUCCACUAGAACUCCUCCAACUCUGGCCGGGCAAAUUGUUUACGCCUAAACAGCAGGCCAUCCUCUACCUUCAGGUCUGGAAAGUUGUCCCUAUCCUGCUGGACUGUCUCUAUCCUCCUCAGGUAUUCCUCGUCUUCGAAUGCUGUGGUGUCGAAGUCCAGGAAGUCGAUCGCCUCUACGUCAAACGGACGAGACAGCAUAUCCGCGACAACGUUGUCCUUCCCCUUGCGGUGCUCUAUUUCGAAGUCAUACGCCUGGAGAGCUAAUGACCAUCUAGCUUGUCUCCCAUCCAGCGCCUUGAACUUCAUCAGCCACUGCAAGCUUGCGUGAUCCGUUAUCACCGUGAAUGGCAUCAGCUCUACGAACGCUGUAAUUCAGUUGCGAUCGGGUCUUCCGCUCCUUCCUUCUGGAAGAGAACUGCUCCAAUCCCCACGUGGCUCGCAUCCCACUGGAUAAAAAAGUGUUUCUUAAAGUCCGGGUGGCGUAACAAGGGAGCGCUGGCAGUCUGUGAGAGGAGCUGAUAAUGCCGAGAAAUUUCGAAUAAACCGGCGAUACCAGCCGGCAGUCCCCAAAAAUCUCCGAAUUUGUCGCACGUUCGUCGGCAUCGGUAUCUGCGUGAUCGCCUGUACCUUCUCCGGAUCGGUCCUCAGUGCGCCGUCGCCUACGAUGUACCCUAGAUAGUUCAGCUUCAUGUGUUCCUCGAACGUCCGGGAAAUGACUAGCAGGUCAUCCAAAUAUACGAAGACAUGGCUUCGUAGUCGCUGGGGAAUCACGCGGUCCAUUAAUCG
This is a long non-coding RNA of Drosophila obscura, 1124 nucleotides long. RefSeq lists it as uncharacterized. NCBI's taxonomy places the organism in Eukaryota, Metazoa, Arthropoda, Insecta, Diptera, Drosophilidae. The record is from RefSeq and is a predicted model, not a curated record. The transcript has 5 exons.